GGCAGUUCUUGGGUGAUGCAUCCUGGAACUGGGCUCCCUCCUCUCUAGUUCCAGCUGCGUCACCAGAGAACUGCA
Non-coding RNA from Myotis lucifugus (little brown bat), 75 nucleotides. The record is from Rfam. Lineage: Eukaryota; Metazoa; Chordata; Mammalia; Chiroptera; Vespertilionidae.